GCAUCAGGAAGAAAGCUUGCUUUCUUUGCUGGCGACCGGCGCACGGGUGAGUAACACGUAUCCAACCUGCCCUUUACUCGGGGAUAGCCUUUCGAAAGAAAGAUUAAUACCCGAUAGCAUAAUGAUUCCGCAUGGUUUCAUUAUUAAAGGAUUCCGGUAAAGGAUGGGGAUGCGUUCCAUUAGGUUGUUGGUGAGGUAACGGCCCACCAAGCCUUCGAUGGAUAGGGGUUCUGAGAGGAAGGUCCCCCACAUUGGAACUGAGACACGGUCCAAACUCCUACGGGAGGCAGCAGUGAGGAAUAUUGGUCAAUGGGCGUUAGCCUGAACCAGCCAAGUAGCGUGAAGGAUGAAGGCUCUAUGGGUCGUAAACUUCUUUUAUAUAAGAAUAAAGUGCAGUAUGUAUACUGUUUUGUAUGUAUUAUAUGAAUAAGGAUCGGCUAACUCCGUGCCAGCAGCCGCGGUAAUACGGAGGAUCCGAGCGUUAUCCGGAUUUAUUGGGUUUAAAGGGAGCGUAGGUGGACUGGUAAGUCAGUUGUGAAAGUUUGCGGCUCAACCGUAAAAUUGCAGUUGAUACUGUCAGUCUUGAGUACAGUAGAGGUGGGCGGAAUUCGUGGUGUAGCGGUGAAAUGCUUAGAUAUCACGAAGAACUCCGAUUGCGAAGGCAGCUCACUGGACUGCAACUGACACUGAUGCUCGAA
RNAcentral lists this ribosomal RNA (698 nucleotides) under uncultured Bacteroidales bacterium. RNAcentral's name for it is "bacterial SSU rRNA". It matches the Rfam family "Bacterial small subunit ribosomal RNA", at positions 69 to 757 of the family's 1533-position model. The record is from RNAcentral. Lineage: Bacteria; Pseudomonadati; Bacteroidota; Bacteroidia; Bacteroidales.